GCGAGUAUGGACCCUGCCCUAGUGGCUCGUCAGUCCCAUCAUAUAACACCUUAUUCGUGAACCAGUCAGUGGGUCAGCUGGACGAUGAAAGCCUUAGGCGACUAGCCGGCCGUCGGUCCCUCCUUUAUAACCCGUUUAUGUGAAGUUAUGGAAAGUACUUGUAUAAUCUAGUAC
This 174-nucleotide unclassified non-coding RNA is filed under the name soil metagenome. Its description in RNAcentral is "partial internal transcribed spacer 1". The record is from RNAcentral.